This 234-nucleotide ribosomal RNA is filed under the name uncultured bacterium. RNAcentral describes it as "partial 16S ribosomal RNA". It matches the Rfam family "Bacterial small subunit ribosomal RNA", at positions 923 to 1163 of the family's 1533-position model. The record is from RNAcentral.
GCACAAGCAGUGGAGUAUGUGGUUUAAUUCGAAGCAACGCGAAGAACCUUACCAGGUCUUGACAUCCGAUGCAUAGCACAGAGAUGUGCGAAAUCCUUCGGGACAUCGAGACAGGUGGUGCAUGGUUGUCGUCAGCUCGUGUCGUGAGAUGUUGGGUUAAGUCCCGCAACGAGCGCAACCCUUAUUGCCAGUUACUACGUUAAGAGGACUCUGGCGAGACUGCCGUUGACAAAA